GAUGAAGAACGUAGCGAAAUGCGAUAAGUAGUGUGAAUUGCAGAAUUCAGUGAAUCAUCGAAUCUUUGAACGCACAUUGCGCCCCUUGGUAUUCCAUGGGGCAUGCCUGUUCGAGCGUCAUUUGUACCUUCAAGCUUUGCUUGGUGUUGGGUGUUUGUCUCGCCUUUGCGUGUAGACUCGCCUUAAAAUAAUUGGCAGCCGGCGUAUUGAUUUCGGAGCGCAGUACAUCUCGCGCUUUGCACUCAUAACGACAGCGUCCAAAAGUACAUUUUACACUCUUGACCUCGGAUCAGGUAGGGAUACCCGCUGAACUUAAGCAUAUCAAAAGCGGAGGA
RNAcentral lists this unclassified non-coding RNA (335 nucleotides) under soil metagenome. Its description in RNAcentral is "partial contains 5.8S ribosomal RNA, internal transcribed spacer 2, and large subunit ribosomal RNA". The stretch from base 1 to 120 matches the Rfam family "5.8S ribosomal RNA", at positions 35 to 154 of the family's 154-position model. The record is from RNAcentral.